Molecule: long non-coding RNA, 389 nt
Organism: Protopterus annectens (West African lungfish)
Lineage: Eukaryota; Metazoa; Chordata; Ceratodontiformes; Protopteridae
Exons: 3
Source: RefSeq, a predicted model, not a curated record
UGUAGAAUCGGAGCUCAUGGCCUGCUGUUUAAGACCCCUACUAUGCAGACCAUAACAAAACCAGUAAAGAAAUGCAAUGGAGGAAGAAAACAGCUCUAGAAACAAGCCAUUUAGGAUGUUUUUAUGUCGCGAUCCAUGGAUUAACUGGAAAAAUACAUCAAACUGCUGCUAGGUCAAGACACAGCCUUAACUAGGGAAGAAGAGUCAGCAGAACUUAUCAAGAGGGCAGGCAGAUGGUCAUCAAGUGCCUUCAUGACAUACAUUAGCUAGAGUAACACUAACCAUGGAUAUCAAAGAUGACUGUAUAUCUGAAAUGGACAGCAGAUGAAUAAAAUGGGAGACACAGUAGUUAGCAUUCUCACCUCACAGCAAGAAGUUCUCUGGUUCAA